CUAUCCUUGAAAUCUCUUUUGGUGUGACAAGUGCAUUCAGCAAAUCACACACUCUUUGACGUUUGCUUUCCUGAUUACUCAUAUGGGCAAAAGUUUCUGAAAAGGUAAGGAUAAUAGUGUUAAGUAUGAGUAUGGCAUCAGUAUAUGCUAGGUUUCGAAACAAUUGACUUAGUGCCUCCUGAGAAAAAGCAACUUAACCUUCAUUGUAAAUUUUGCUUCCUCACCCUGUAUAUGUGCGUAUCUGUGGGAUUGUGAAUGUUA
This is a long non-coding RNA of Octopus sinensis (East Asian common octopus), 261 nucleotides long. RefSeq lists it as uncharacterized. Lineage: Eukaryota; Metazoa; Mollusca; Cephalopoda; Octopoda; Octopodidae. The record is from RefSeq and is a predicted model, not a curated record. The transcript has 3 exons.